This is a non-coding RNA of Anaerobacillus sp., 178 nucleotides long. The record is from Rfam. Lineage: Bacteria; Bacillati; Bacillota; Bacilli; Caryophanales; Bacillaceae.
AAAGUCCUGAGGUGUUUGUAGAAUACUAUACGUUUUGAGCCAACAUUUUUAAUAUGGGAGCUUGAAGUUUUAGCUUGGCGUGCAAGCCUUCACGAGAGGAAGUACAAAGAGUUAAACAGAGCACCCACCUGCUUAGGCAGGUUCAAAACUAUGUAUUAUACGGCAUAUCGGGACUUUA